This 253-nucleotide ribosomal RNA is filed under the name uncultured bacterium. Its description in RNAcentral is "partial 16S ribosomal RNA". It matches the Rfam family "Bacterial small subunit ribosomal RNA", at positions 524 to 776 of the family's 1533-position model. The record is from RNAcentral.
CACGUAGGGGCCAAGCGUUGUCCGGAUUAUUGGGCGUAAAGAGCUCGUAGGCGGCUCGGUAAGUCGGGUGUGAAACCUCCAGGCUCAACCUGGAGACGCCACCCGAUACUGCUGUGGCUAGAGUCCGGUAGGGGAGCGUGGAAUUCCUGGUGUAGCGGUGAAAUGCGCAGAUAUCAGGAGGAACACCAGCGGCGAAGGCGGCGCUCUGGGCCGGAACUGACGCUGAGGAGCGAAAGCGUGGGUAGCAAACAGG